AUGGAAAAACAAAAUCAGUCCAUGGUGCCUGAAUUUAUUUUGUUGGGAUUCAAAAAUCUCAUGAGCUACAGAUUUUCUUUAUCUUAUUUUUCCAUUCUCUACAUAUCCAUAAUUAAGUAACCUAAUCAUUAUCUUUGUAGUGAAACUGGAUCCUCAAUUGCAUUCUCCCAUGUACUUCCUACUGGCCAACCUGUCAUCUACUGAUAUGCCCCUGGCCUCCUUUGCUACUCCUAAGAAAAUCGAUAAUGUAAUUAGUGAAUAUAGGACCAUCUCCUAUGAAGGCUGCAUGACAUAGAGAUUUUUCCUUCACUUUUUAAGUGGAAGUGAGAUGGUUUUACUCUUAGCCAUGGCAAUCGAUAGAUAAUUUGCCAUAUGCAAACCCCUCCAUUACAAGUCCAUUGCAUCGGACUUGCUCCUCGCUCCUGGACUAUGGAUUUCAUGCACACCAUGAGCCAAAUUGUUCUCACAGUGACUUUGCCAUUCUGUGGUCUCAGUGUUGUGGAUAUUUUUGUGUGUGUGUGAUCUGCCUUGUGAUAAAACUUGCCUGUACAGACACUUACAUCUUGGAGCUAUGAGUCAUUGCAGACAGUGGACUACUUUCUUUGCUGUGUUUCAUGUUUCUGUUAAUCUCCUAUAGCACCGUCCUGAUUAUUAUUUGACAUCAUUCCUCCAGGGGGUCUUCCAAAACUCUGUCCACGCUUUCAGCCCACAUUAUGGUGGUGGUACUGUUCUUUGGAGCUUGCAUCUUUACCUGUGAAAGACCAUUCAGCACUGUCUCCAUUGAUGUCUGUGUUUUAAACUAUUUUUGCUCCCCUUUUAAAUCCAAUCAUCUACACAUUCAGGAAUAACGACAUGAAGAAAGCAUUAAGAAAAAUGAAGAUUAACUUUGUGAGUUCUAGAUCAACUUGAUAA
This 912-nucleotide long non-coding RNA is filed under the name Homo sapiens (human). RNAcentral's name for it is "non-protein coding lnc-OR4L1-1:1". The record is from RNAcentral. Lineage: Eukaryota; Metazoa; Chordata; Mammalia; Primates; Hominidae.